Parasteatoda tepidariorum (common house spider) is the source of this 420-nucleotide non-coding RNA. The record is from RefSeq and is a predicted model, not a curated record. NCBI's taxonomy places the organism in Eukaryota, Metazoa, Arthropoda, Arachnida, Araneae, Theridiidae.
AGUUUUAGUGUUGAUAUACUGGAUGUAGACGUUGCAUCCCAUGUGAAACCAGAAAUUGCGGCAGAAAAUUUCGCCCAUGAACUGGAUUAUGGAAAUGAGGGCAUAGAAAGCUAUGAGACUGCCAAAAAUGAGAUUGAUGUAGCAGGGAAACAGAAAAAGACAAAAAAGAAACGUGUCGGACGGUUUUUCCGUAAAUUAUUCUGUUCCUGCGUGAAGAAAAACAAGGAGUAAUUAGAGGUGACAAGUGACUGUUGGGGAUGAUUUAGGCAGUCUCAGUAACAUUUAUUUGAAGGAAAUCUCGUCGAAGCCAUCGUUUUCGUCAUUUUUCGAGGCAGAUGAAUUUCAUUUCAUAUUCAAAUGAUGUAAAUUUCGAUUUAGGCCUUUUUUGGUUUUUAAUUAAAUAAAAAUGACAAUUUUCGA